UGGGGAAUUUUGGACAAUGGGGGCAACCCUGAUCCAGCAAUGCCGCGUGUGUGAAGAAGGCCUUCGGGUUGUAAAGCACUUUUGUUCGGGAAGAAAUCCUUCUGGCUAAUAUCUGGAAGGGAUGACGGUACCGGAAGAAUAAGCACCGGCUAACUACGUGC
RNAcentral lists this ribosomal RNA (161 nucleotides) under uncultured bacterium. Its description in RNAcentral is "partial 16S ribosomal RNA". It matches the Rfam family "Bacterial small subunit ribosomal RNA", at positions 355 to 508 of the family's 1533-position model. The record is from RNAcentral.